UACAGAAGUCUCAAGCGUUGUUCGGAUUCAUUGGGCGUAAAGGGUGCGUAGGCGGCGCGGUAAGUCGGGUGUGAAAUCUCGGGGCUUAACUCCGAAACUGCAUUCGAUACUGCCGUGCUUGAGGACUGGAGAGGAGACUGGAAUUUACGGUGUAGCGGUGAAAUGCGUAGAUAUCGUAAGGAAGACCAGUGGCGAAGGCGGGUCUCUGGACAGUUCCUGACGCUGAGGCACGAAGGCCAGGGGAGCAAACGGG
Molecule: ribosomal RNA, 253 nt
Filed under: uncultured bacterium
Lineage: Bacteria
Description: partial 16S ribosomal RNA
Rfam family: Bacterial small subunit ribosomal RNA
Source: RNAcentral